GAAGAAGUGAAUUAAGGGCAUUUGGUGGAUGCCU
This 34-nucleotide ribosomal RNA is filed under the name Rhizobium sp. Glm-14. Its description in RNAcentral is "partial 23S ribosomal RNA". The record is from RNAcentral. Lineage: Bacteria; Pseudomonadati; Pseudomonadota; Alphaproteobacteria; Hyphomicrobiales; Rhizobiaceae. RNAcentral also lists the same sequence under 15 other names.